UACGUAGGGUGCGAGCGUUAAUCGGAAUUACUGGGCGUAAAGCGUGCGCAGGCGGUUUUGUAAGCCAGAUGUGAAAGCCCCGGGCUUAACCUGGGAAUGGCAUUUGGGACUGCAAGGCUUGAGUGCGGCAGAGGAGACUGGAAUUCCUGGUGUAGCAGGGAAAUGCGUAGAUAUCAGGAGGAAUACCGAUGGCGAAGGCAGGUCUCUGGGCUGACACUGACGCUCAUGCACGAAAGCGUGGGGAGCGAACAGG
This 253-nucleotide ribosomal RNA is filed under the name uncultured bacterium. RNAcentral's name for it is "partial 16S ribosomal RNA". It matches the Rfam family "Bacterial small subunit ribosomal RNA", at positions 524 to 776 of the family's 1533-position model. The record is from RNAcentral.